AAACUAACAAGGAUUCCCUUAGUAGCGGCGAGCGAAGCGGGAUGAGCUCAAAUUUGAAAUCUGGGCGUCUUUCAGGCGUCCGAGUUGUAAUCUAUAGAAGCGUUUUCUAUGCUGGACCGUGUCCAAGUCCCUUGGAACAGGGUAUCAAAGAGGGUGACAAUCCCGUACUUGACACGACCACCAGUGUUCUGUGAUACGUUUUCUACGAGUCGAGUUGUUUGGGAAUGCAGCUCAAAAUGGGUGGUAAAUUCCAUCUAAAGCUAAAUAUUGGCGAGAGACCGAUAGCGAACAAGUACCGUGAGGGAAAGAUGAAAAGCACUUUGGAAAGAGAGUUAAACAGUACGUGAAAUUGUUGAAAGGGAAACGAUUGAAGUCAGUCGUGUCUAUUGGUUUCAGCCGGUUCUGCCGGUGUACUACUUUUAGACGGGUCAACAUCAGUUUUAGACGGCAGAUAAUAGCAGUUUGAAUGUAGCACCUCCGGGUGUGUUAUAGCUCUCUGUUGCAUAUGCUGUCCGAGACUGAGGACUGCAGCUCGCCUUUUAGGCCGGGGCUCGCCCACGUCCGAGCUUAGG
RNAcentral lists this ribosomal RNA (572 nucleotides) under Bullera sp. TY-140. RNAcentral describes it as "eukaryotic LSU rRNA". It matches the Rfam family "Eukaryotic large subunit ribosomal RNA", at positions 62 to 611 of the family's 3401-position model. Lineage: Eukaryota; Fungi; Basidiomycota; Tremellomycetes; Tremellales; Bulleraceae. The record is from RNAcentral.